This 376-nucleotide ribosomal RNA is filed under the name uncultured bacterium. RNAcentral's name for it is "bacterial SSU rRNA". It matches the Rfam family "Bacterial small subunit ribosomal RNA", at positions 28 to 404 of the family's 1533-position model. The record is from RNAcentral.
GACGAACGCUGGCGGCGUGCUUAACACAUGCAAGUCGAGCGGUAAGGCCCUUUCGGGGGUACGACGAGCGGCGAACGGGUGAGUAACACGUGGGUGACCUGCCCUCAGCUCUGGGAUAAGCCUGGGAAACCGGGGUCUAAUACUGGAUAUGACUCCAUGACGCAUGUUGUGGGGUGGAAAGCCUUGUGCGGCUGAGGAUGGGCCCGCGGCCUAUCAGCUUGUUGGUGGGGGAUGGCCUACCAAGGCGACGACGGGUAGCCGGCCUGAGAGGGCGACCGGCCACACUGGGACUGAGACACGGCCCAGACUCCUACGGGAGGCAGCAGUGGGGAAUCUUGCGCAAUGGGCGAAAGCCUGACGCAGCGACGCCGCGUGA